RNAcentral lists this unclassified non-coding RNA (295 nucleotides) under uncultured Ustilago. RNAcentral's name for it is "sequence contains ITS2". Lineage: Eukaryota; Fungi; Basidiomycota; Ustilaginomycetes; Ustilaginales; Ustilaginaceae. The record is from RNAcentral.
AUUGUUUCGAACGCCCGCUUUUUUCACGAAGAGCGCACGGAUCGGUAGUGAGGGUCUUGCCAUUUACCGUGGCUCCCUCGAAAUACAUUAGCGCAUCCAUUUGAUAGGCAAGACGGACGAAAGCUCGAUCUUUUGCUCCCUCGUUUCCUGCCUGCCGGGUUUUGAUAAUAUCAGGACUUCGGAGGAGGAAUGAGGUGGGUGUGAGCUGGACGCAACGUUUUGCUGGUUGGAGUGCUUCUAACCCCGCCCAUGGCUCUGCUGUUUUACGACGGCAGAGAAAGGGAUUUUUUCAAUU